GACGAGCGCUGGCGGCGUGCCUAAUACAUGCAAGUCGAGCGGACGGAUGGGAGCUUGCUCCCAGACCGUCAGCGGCGGACGGGUGAGUAACACGUGGGCAACCUGCCUGUAAGACUGGGAUAACUCCGGGAAACCGGGGCUAAUACCGGAUAACUCUUUCCCUCACAUGAGGGAAAGCUGAAAGAUGGCAUCUCGCUAUCACUUACAGAUGGGCCCGCGGCGCAUUAGCUAGUUGGUGAGGUAACGGCUCACCAAGGCGACGAUGCGUAGCCGACCUGAGAGGGUGAUCGGCCACACUGGGACUGAGACACAGCCCAGACUCCUACGGGAGGCAGCAGUAGGGAAUCUUCCGCAAUGGACGAAAGUCUGACGGAGCAACGCCGCGUGAGUGAUGAAGGUUUUCGGAUCGUAAAACUCUGUUGUCAGGGAAGAACAAGUACCGGAGUAACUGCCGGUACCUUGACGGUACCUGACCAGAAAGCCACGGCUAACUACGUG
Molecule: ribosomal RNA, 498 nt
Filed under: uncultured bacterium
Lineage: Bacteria
Description: partial 16S ribosomal RNA
Rfam family: Bacterial small subunit ribosomal RNA
Source: RNAcentral